GUCACCACCAAAAUCUGCAGGCACUCAGCAUGUCACGCCAAGUAUUUGCUUUCACUCAGCGUGUCACCACAAUUGGGGUGUGCCGUGUCACCCCACAAUACUGCAAGAAGUCAGCGUGUCACCACAGAAAUCUGCAUGCACUUAGUGUGUCACGUCAAGUAUCUGCUUCCACUCAACGUGUCACCACAAGAUGUCAUUGACAUCUACCAAUUACAGCCUAAUCUCAACCCCCACACCAGAUGAUCAAAAAUGCCACGUGGCAUUUCUUUUAUUAGCUUAGCAUGAUAUAUUUUUUCG
Molecule: long non-coding RNA, 297 nt
Filed under: Theobroma cacao (cacao)
Lineage: Eukaryota; Viridiplantae; Streptophyta; Magnoliopsida; Malvales; Malvaceae
Description: long non-coding RNA (TCAC_LNC002052)
Source: RNAcentral